GCCGCUAUGGUGAAAUCGGUAAACACGCUGCUCUUAGGAAGCAGA
This 45-nucleotide transfer RNA is filed under the name Pleroma pereirae. RNAcentral's name for it is "Tibouchina pereirae partial tRNA-Leu". The record is from RNAcentral. RNAcentral also lists the same sequence under 2 other names. Lineage: Eukaryota; Viridiplantae; Streptophyta; Magnoliopsida; Myrtales; Melastomataceae.